RNA transcript from Cucumis sativus (cucumber), 3351 nucleotides. It is a transcript of the gene named sphingoid long-chain bases kinase 2, mitochondrial-like, with no coding region annotated. Lineage: Eukaryota; Viridiplantae; Streptophyta; Magnoliopsida; Cucurbitales; Cucurbitaceae. The transcript is spliced from 17 exons. The record is from RefSeq and is a predicted model, not a curated record.
CACAGAAGCCAAAGGUAAGGCUGCUUUUAAAGCUCAAAUUGACAAGCUACAGUAGGAAAAUGUUGAACUCCAGAGAAGGGUUAUUGGCAAUCAGCAAGUAAGAACUCAACAAAUACAUGAGAUGAAGAAGAAAGAAAAGGAGUACAUCAAAUUGCAGGUGAGAACCUACAGGGUAUAGGAAUACCUACAGGAAAGCUGGAUAUGUAUGUUGCUGCUGCUGGCAUAAACCCUCAAAGAUGAAAGAGGCACUAUCAGCAUUGACAUGUACAUGUGAUUUUAGGCAUGAACCAGGAGAGUGAGAGUUUUAGUGUGCCGUGUUUAGAAUUUGCCGAUAUCUUUUUCCCGUUCCAGCAAGUAUUCCUGAUUGUGGGGAUUCUUCCAGUAAUGCUAGAUAUUGGUACUAACAACGAGAAGUUACUUAAUGAUUCUCUUUGAUUUAUUGGAGUUGAGGAGUCCCACAAUCUUUAUGUUCUGUUUGUUUUUCCAUACUUUUUCAAGGCUGUUCAAUUGGAGUUCCAUCUUCAGGUUGACGUGAUUGUCUUGACAGAUGGAAGUCGUAUUCUUGGCCUCGGUGACCUUGGAGUUCAGGGAAUAGGAAUACCUAGAUUGGAGGGAGAAGAGUAUCUAUCUAUUGUUGAUGAAUUUAUGGAAGUCGUGCAUACAUGUUGGCCUAAAGCUAUUGUUCAGUUUGAGGAUUUUCAAAUGAAAUGGGCUUUUGAAACAUUACAACGUUAUCGUAAGAGGUUCUGCAUGUUCAACGAUGACAUACAAGGAACUGCUGGUGUUGCUCUCGCUGGACUAUUGGGAAAUGUGAGAGCUCAAGGGCAGCAUUGAGUGAUUUUGUUAACCAAAAGAUAGUAGUGGUAGGGGCUGGAAGUGUUGGGCUCGGUGUUCUUAACAUGGCUAUUCAGGCUGUUUUGAGAAUGGUAGGGAACAACGAUUCUACUGCAAGAAAUCGAUUUUUUUUCUAAUAGACAAAGAUGAACAAGGAUGAAUAAUCAAUGAAAAAGGAAUGAAGAGGUUUAUCCAUGCAAGCUUCAAACCAAAGCCAAGGAUGUCGAUCCUUCCAGGGGAGUCCAAAGUUCUCCCUUAUUUUUCUCCCUUUAUUUUGAUUUUCAAAAGUUUGCAAUUUUUUAAGUGGGGGUGGGCAAUUGCUUGCAUGUUUAGUCUAAACUUGGAGGUUCAAAUUUUGCCCAAAUUUCAAAAUUUCUAAAAAAAAUUUCCUUACAAUAAUGAGCACUAUACCUUCUUAGAUUACUUAGAUCUUGCAUAAAAAGCAUGACUAGCAACCCUUGAUCACUGAGCUUGGGUUUGUGAUGUAAAAUUCUGAAUGUUGAUGAGUAUAUGUGCUGAAAUUUGAGAAUAAGCUGCCGUGUUUUUUGGUUUAAGCCCAUUUUUAGCGAUAUCUUAUGGAGAUGUGAAUGCAUGAUUGAGAAAAUGGUAUGUGUGUUGUGAAUGCUUGAUUGCAUGCAUAUAAUAAAUAAGUGCAUGGAUACUUUUCUAGCUUUGUCUUCCUUUGUUUCUUUGCCAUGACUUACCUAUGAUGCGCUUAGUCCAAACCUAGCCUAGAUAGAGUUAAAAAAGGAUAGGAGGUACUCUUUAGAAAUUGAGAUGGUUUUAACAAAUUUGUCUUGUCAAACAUGAGUUUGGAGCCUCUUGUCUAGCCACAAUGAACUAAAUCCCUUUAGAAAGGGUGGGCAUUAACAAAUCUUGUUGUCACUUCGAAGGGAGCAGUCAAACUUAGAAACUAAGUGUAGAACCAUAGAAAGGUUACCCCAUCGGUUAUUGUGUGCGUACCAAAGAAAGAAAAGAGAGACUUGCAAAUGUAAAACUUAAGACAGCGAGACAAUUAAGAGCUAAAAAAAACAAAGAACAUAUGCAUUAUACAUCAGAAAAAUCCCAUAAAAAAAUGAAGGGAAACUUCACUUUUGGCCUAACCAAAAGCAGACCACCUACUCUUAGCGUUCUAGACAUAGCAUUGAGUUUGAUGAGGGCUUUGAAAAGAGGAGGAAUCCUCCCCGUUCCACACUAGGGGAAAAACGAGACUUGUCACUCCGAAGGGAGCAGUCAAACUUAGCAUUGAGUUCAAGGUAUCCUUCUUAGAUUCUUGAAUCAUGACUACAUUAGGACUACAAUGAGCACCAUUGUUAUGGAUCAAAAUAAAGUUCCAAAUGUUCAUCCAAUCGUGCCAUCAAAUGUGUCAGAAGGAAAUAUUCAUGUUAGCAUUGGAAAGACGUCAAUAGCAGUGGAAAGAAUUGAAGAAAAAAGUGAAACAAAAGUGAAUGGAGACAGGAAAAUGAAAUUAUCCCAGAAAAGCCAACAAUGUGUAGCAAAUGGUACAAACAAGAGUUGAGAAAAGAUGGGGCGUGAUUUCAUGGUUUCAAAUGGGAAGUCAUCAUGUGUAUUUAAGGGGAAAAUAUUUUGUUUUUCUAGUUCCUUUCCAGAAGAUCGGGGGGAGGCGAGGUUGUUGAAGAUCACAUGAAGCAGAAAGUGCACUUCACUGUUGAAUGUCAUGGUGGGAUACCAAGGAGUACAGACGUUCAUAGUACUUAUGUGUCAAGUCAUCGGGUUCGAUCAUGUUUAGAGCUGAAUGGAUAUAUGAGUGUGUCAGCCAGAGAAAGAUUGUCUCUCUUGAUUUGUAUCGCCCAAAAGAAGUUAAAGCUCAAGACAGAGCGACAGGCUUAUGCACUGUCAGCCAAUUUCCUACUCAAGCUGCCCCAAUGAUAGCCAAUGAAAGCAUAUCCCAGUUCCUAUCCAUUCUGCCAUUCCGAGAGACCAAUCAGCUGGAACUAACAGUAGCUUUAUAGGAGCAGCUGAACGAAUAAGUUCUAUGAAGAAAAGCGCAAGUUCUUUGACGAAGCCAUAGAAAAGCAUUCACUUUUGUUGGAAACAGAUCCACUCAAUCUGACUGCAUUUUGAAUUCCACAAAACAAACUACAUCAAAUUCUUCUGUAGUAACUUCACACGUUCCUGAUGUCGCUUCCGCAAUUGAGGACUUGUUGGAGCAGACAACUAAGACUGUUCGCUUGUUGGUCAAGACCAUUCAGAAACUUCUCCAAUUAGUGCUUUAUCUAACCAGUGGUCAAAAAGAGCUGAAAGAAAAGAAGAUGUGGGCAAUUCUACUACUGAAGAUGGGACUGUGGGCAUAUGUGAUGGCUUUAGUGAAACACAAACAGAGUCUCAGAAUGCCAUAACUCACAGGUUGAUGACGGUGAAUGGGAGCUGUAUCCACAAGUAACUGCUCUAUGCAUUGGAAAUGCUAAAUACUUUGGCGGUGGUAUGAAAAUUGUGCCAAAUGCCGAUCCUUCCAACAGGAGUCUAGAGGUAGUAAUUCUUCAGGAUUUCAAGUGG